UAAGAUGUAGAAAAGAGAGAAAAGAAAGAAAAGAAAGGAAAACCAAAAAAGAGGAGAAGCCCCAUAUCAUACCUAUCUCCAUGCCUUGUGAGUCCCACGGCCACCCACUCCUUACCCACUCGUCACCCACCUCUCAACCUUCCACUUGGAUGUUUGCUAUGUGGCGCACAUCCAAGCUUUCUUUGUGCUUAUUUAAAGGCUCCCUUUUUCCUCAUUUCUCCCACUAUUUCUUCUUCCAUUUUCAUUUUCU
RNAcentral lists this long non-coding RNA (250 nucleotides) under Carica papaya (papaya). RNAcentral describes it as "long non-coding RNA (CPAP_LNC001397)". The record is from RNAcentral. Lineage: Eukaryota; Viridiplantae; Streptophyta; Magnoliopsida; Brassicales; Caricaceae.